AGAACUGGGUGAGCCCAUCUGUAAGCACACCGGUAAUGUUACCCAGGCUGCUCUCUUGAAUGUGAUCCCUUAUCAUCAUCAUCAUCAUCAUCAUCAUCAUCAUCAUCAUCCUCAUCAUCAUCAUCAUCCUCAUCCUCAUCACC
Molecule: microRNA precursor, 143 nt
Filed under: Notamacropus eugenii (tammar wallaby)
Lineage: Eukaryota; Metazoa; Chordata; Mammalia; Diprotodontia; Macropodidae
Description: miRNA (ENSMEUG00000017589.1)
Source: RNAcentral